RNAcentral lists this ribosomal RNA (492 nucleotides) under uncultured bacterium. RNAcentral's name for it is "partial 16S ribosomal RNA". It matches the Rfam family "Bacterial small subunit ribosomal RNA", at positions 29 to 507 of the family's 1533-position model. The record is from RNAcentral.
AGUGAACGCUGGCGGUAGGCCUAACACAUGCAAGUCGAACGGCAGCACAGUAAGAGCUUGCUCUUUCGGGUGGCGAGUGGCGGACGGGUGAGGAAUACAUCGGAAUCUACUUUUUCGUGGGGGAUAACGUAGGGAAACUUACGCUAAUACCGCAUACGACCUACGGGUGAAAGCAGGGGAUCUUCGGACCUUGCGCGAUUGAAUGAGCCGAUGUCGGAUUAGCUAGUUGGCGGGGUAAAGGCCCACCAAGGCGACGAUCCGUAGCUGGUCUGAGAGGAUGAUCAGCCACACUGGAACUGAGACACGGUCCAGACUCCUACGGGAGGCAGCAGUGGGGAAUAGUGGACAAUGGGCGCAAGCCUGAUCCAGCCAUACCGCGUGGGUGAAGAAGGCCUUCGGGUUGUAAAGCCCUUUUGUUGGGAAAGAAAAGCAGCAGGUUAAUACCCCGCUGUUCUGACGGUACCCAAAGAAUAAGCACCGGCUAACUUCGUG